CCCCGUCGUUCUGGCCCCCCGGGCCCGUGUUCUAGCCACGAGGCGAUGCUGCUUCCCCUGGCCAGAGACCGGGAUGUCCUCCAAGUCGUCAGCAGGGAAGGCGAGUGGUUUCUUGGAUGGCAGGCGUUUGCCAUGGACAGAGGCGGCCCCGAUCCUGAAGCAGAGUCGGCCCGGUGCGCGUGUCUGAAGAUGAGUUGGGUGGCGUGCGUGACACUUUCUCCCGAUCUGCUCAUAUAGAUGACGGUGCCAAGUGUCUACAGGCGAGGGAUGGAAUCGGUCCUCUCUCCCGUGAAGCCAAGUUACCUUACGUUAACGGAGAUUAUGGUGACUCUGAAAUGUCUCCGUCCCGAUCUCUGCCAACGCAGAGGCCCCUGCAUGGAGGAUCACAGUCACGGCUUUAGAAGCCUAAUUGCUCUUCCUCAAAGCCGGGAGGCCACAUGGUUUCUGCCGACGGCGGGUGUUUGACAGAACCAUGGGCGGCUCUUAUCCGGCAGCCAGGUUCCCGGGAUACCCUGGACGAAAGUGGAGUUUUUUUUGGCACCCACGUGUGUUUACCCCACCCCCAACCUCCCGUGGCUUUGGUCACCCCUUUAAGGAUGGAAUAUUCAUUCAGUAGCAUUUACUCAGCGGCUGAGUGUACUGAGUGCUUGGAAAGCAAUCAGGGAGGCACCAGACUCUUUGCAGAGCAGGUUAUUAGGCAAAGCCUUAGAGUGGGCUGAGAGGCAAGUUUCUCCUUCUACCAAAUGCCAUGGUUCUGGUGGUGUUUUCACAAAAGCUGACCCUCUCUCCCUCUGAUGGGGAAUUUGAUAGAUCCCACAAAAUGCACCCAUAACUCUGCACCGACCGAUGGCACGCCCGAGUGCGAGGCUGUAAACGACGUACAGACUUGGCCAAAAUCUAGUCGGUUUUCAGGGCACCAGGUACGGCCGUUAUGUGGGUCCGCCUUUUAGUGAAGGGAAGAAACUCUGCAUCGUCCAAGAUUAAUAUGAAAUGAUUAGAUUCCCACGUGUUUUUGCCUUGGCCUCCCUCACCCGGAGGCCACGACCACGGGGAUACCGUUAUGGCGCCUUCGACUUCAGUGGACGUUGACAGA
Long non-coding RNA from Ornithorhynchus anatinus (platypus), 1093 nucleotides. RefSeq lists it as uncharacterized. The transcript is spliced from 3 exons. The record is from RefSeq and is a predicted model, not a curated record. NCBI's taxonomy places the organism in Eukaryota, Metazoa, Chordata, Mammalia, Monotremata, Ornithorhynchidae.